GGAAUAUUGGACAAUGGGCGAGAGCCUGAUCCAGCCAUGCCGCGUGCAGGAAGACGGCCCUAUGGGUUGUACACUGCUUUUGUACGGGAAGAAACACCCCCUCGUGAGGGGGCUUGCCGGUACCGUAAGACUAAGGAUCGGCUCACUCCGUUCCAGCAGCCGCGGUAAUACGGAGGAACCAAGCGUUAUCCGGAAUCAUUGGGUUUAAAGGGUCCGUAGGUGGGCCGUUAAGUCAGAGGUGAAAUCCUGCAGCUCAACUGUAGAAUUGCCUUUGAUACUGGCGGUCUUGAAUCAUUGUGAAGUGGUUGGAAUAUGUAGUGUAGCGGUGAAAUGCAUAGAUACUACAUAGAACACCGAUUGCGAAGGCAGAUCACUAACAAUGCAUUGACACUGAUGGACGAAAGCGUGGGGAGCGA
This 416-nucleotide ribosomal RNA is filed under the name uncultured bacterium. RNAcentral describes it as "bacterial SSU rRNA". It matches the Rfam family "Bacterial small subunit ribosomal RNA", at positions 358 to 771 of the family's 1533-position model. The record is from RNAcentral.